GAUGAACGCUGGCGGCGUGCCUAAUACAUGCAAGUCGAGCGAACAGACGAGGAGCUUGCUCCUCUGACGUUAGCGGCGGACGGGUGAGUAACACGUGGAUAACCUACCUAUAAGACUGGGAUAACUUCGGGAAACCGGAGCUAAUACCGGAUAAUAUAUUGAACCGCAUGGUUCAAUAGUGAAAGACGGUUUUGCUGUCACUUAUAGAUGGAUCCGCGCCGCAUUAGCUAGUUGGUAAGGUAACGGCUUACCAAGGCGACGAUGCGUAGCCGACCUGAGAGGGUGAUCGGCAACACUGGAACUGAGACACGGUCCAGACUCCUACGGGAGGCAGCAGUAGGGAAUCUUCCGCAAUGGGCGAAGGCCUGACGGAGCAACGCCGCGUGAGUGAUGAAGGUCUUCGGAUCGUAAAACUCUGUUAUUAGGGAAGAACAAAUGUGUAAGUAACUAUGCACGUCUUGACGGUACCUAAUCAGAAAGCCACGGCUAACUACGUG
RNAcentral lists this ribosomal RNA (497 nucleotides) under uncultured bacterium. RNAcentral's name for it is "partial 16S ribosomal RNA". It matches the Rfam family "Bacterial small subunit ribosomal RNA", at positions 28 to 507 of the family's 1533-position model. The record is from RNAcentral.